AUUGAACGCUGGCGGCAGGCCUAACACAUGCAAGUCGAGCGGUAGAGAGGUGCUUGCAUCUCUUGAGAGCGGCGGACGGGUGAGUAAUGCCUAGGAAUCUGCCUAGUGGUGGGGGAUAACGUUCGGAAACGGACGCUAAUACCGCAUACGUCCUACGGGAGAAAGCGGGGGAUCUUCGGACUCGCGCCAUUAGAUGAGCCUAGGUCGGAUUAGCUAGUUGGUGAGGUAAUGGCUCACCAAGGCGACGAUCCGUAACUGGUCUGAGAGGAUGA
RNAcentral lists this ribosomal RNA (272 nucleotides) under uncultured bacterium. RNAcentral describes it as "partial 16S ribosomal RNA". It matches the Rfam family "Bacterial small subunit ribosomal RNA", at positions 30 to 303 of the family's 1533-position model. The record is from RNAcentral.